CCUACGGGUGGCAGCAGUGAGGAAUAUUGGUCAAUGGGCGCGAGCCUGAACCAGCCAAGUAGCGUGAAGGAUGACGGCCCUACGGGUUGUAAACUUCUUUUAUAAAGGAAUAAAGUGAGGCACGUGUGCCUUUUUGUAUGUACUUUAUGAAUAAGGAUCGGCUAACUCCGUGCCAGCAGCCGCGGUAAUACGGAGGUGGCAAGCGUUGUCCGGAAUUACUGGGUGUAAAGGGAGCGCAGGCGGGAAGCCAAGUCAGCUGUGAAAACUACGGGCUUAACUUGUAGCCCGCCGUUGAAACUGGCAUUCUCGAGUUAAAGAGAGGUAUGCGGAAUUCGCAGUGUAGCGGUGAAAUGCAUAGAUAUUGGGCGGAACACCGGUGGCGAAGGCGGCAAACUGGG
RNAcentral lists this ribosomal RNA (398 nucleotides) under uncultured bacterium. RNAcentral describes it as "partial 16S ribosomal RNA". It matches the Rfam family "Bacterial small subunit ribosomal RNA", at positions 338 to 733 of the family's 1533-position model. The record is from RNAcentral.